CCUACGGGAGGCAGCAGUGGGGAAUAUUGCACAAUGGGGGAAACCCUGAUGCAGCAACGCCGCGUGAGUGAUGACGGCCUUCGGGUUGUAAAGCUCUUUCUUCAGGGACGAUAAUGACGGUACCUGAGGAGGAAUCCACGGCUAACUACGUUCCAGCAGCCGCGGUAAUACGUAGGUGGCGAGCGUGGUCCGGAUGUAUUGGGUUGAAAGGGUGCGUAGGCGGAGCGUUAAGUCAGUGGUCAAAUUGAGGGGGUAACCCCCUUCCCGCCAUUGAGACUGGCGCUCUUGAGUGGAAGAGAAGUAUGCGGAAUGCGUGGUGUAGCGGUGGAAUGCAUAGAUAUCACGCAGAACCCCGAUUGCGAAGGCAGCAUGCCGGCUUCCGACUGACGCUGAAGCACGAAAGCGUGGGGAUUGAACAGGAUUAGAUACCCCUGUAGUC
This 439-nucleotide ribosomal RNA is filed under the name uncultured bacterium. Its description in RNAcentral is "partial 16S ribosomal RNA". It matches the Rfam family "Bacterial small subunit ribosomal RNA", at positions 338 to 795 of the family's 1533-position model. The record is from RNAcentral.